RNAcentral lists this ribosomal RNA (248 nucleotides) under uncultured Oscillospiraceae bacterium. RNAcentral describes it as "partial 16S ribosomal RNA". It matches the Rfam family "Bacterial small subunit ribosomal RNA", at positions 524 to 771 of the family's 1533-position model. The record is from RNAcentral. Lineage: Bacteria; Bacillati; Bacillota; Clostridia; Eubacteriales; Oscillospiraceae.
UACAUAGGGGGCAAGCGUUAUCCGGAAUUAUUGGGUGUAAAGGGUGCGUAGACGGAAGAACAAGUUGGUUGUGAAAUCCCUCGGCUCAACUGAGGAACUGCAACCAAAACUAUUCUCCUUGAGUGUCGGAGAGGAAAGUGGAAUUCCUAGUGUAGCGGUGAAAUGCGUAGAUAUUAGGAGGAACACCAGUGGCGAAGGCGACUUUCUGGACGAUAACUGACGUUGAGGCACGAAAGUGUGGGGAGCAA